GAUCCUGGCUCAGGACGAACGCUGGCGGCGUGCCUAACACAUGCAAGUCGAACGGAGAUAAAGGUUUCGGUUUUUAUCUUAGUGGCGCACGGGUGAGUAACACGUGAAUAACCUGACCCAAAGAGGGGGAUAACACCUGGAAACAGGUGCUAAUACCGCAUAAGACCACAAUGUCGCAUGACGAAGGGGUCAAAGAAAAUCGCUUUGGGAGGGGUUCGACGUCCCCAUUAGGGUAGUAGGCGGGGUAACGGCCCACCUAGCCGACGAUGGGUAG
RNAcentral lists this ribosomal RNA (274 nucleotides) under uncultured bacterium. RNAcentral describes it as "partial 16S ribosomal RNA". It matches the Rfam family "Bacterial small subunit ribosomal RNA", at positions 15 to 286 of the family's 1533-position model. The record is from RNAcentral.